RNAcentral lists this ribosomal RNA (505 nucleotides) under Cervidellus vexilliger. Its description in RNAcentral is "SSU rRNA". It matches the Rfam family "Eukaryotic small subunit ribosomal RNA", at positions 88 to 590 of the family's 1831-position model. The record is from RNAcentral. Lineage: Eukaryota; Metazoa; Nematoda; Chromadorea; Rhabditida; Cephalobidae.
CGCGAAUGGCUCAUUAUAACAGCUAUAAUUUACUUGAUCUUGACACAAUCCUACUUGGAUAACUGUGGUAAUUCUAGAGCUAAUACAUGCAUUAAAGCUCUGACCUCGCGGGAAGAGUGCAUUUAUUAGAACAAAACCAAGCGGCUUCGGCUGUUUUCGGUUGACUCAUAGUAACUGAGCUGAUCGCAUGGUCUUGCACCGGCGACGUGUCUUUCAAGUAUCUGCCGUAUCAACUUUCGAUGGUAGUGUAUCUGACUACCAUGGUGAUCACGCGUAACGGAGAAUAAGGGUUCGACUCCGGAGAGUUCGCCUGAGAAAUCGCGAACACAUCUAAGGAAGGCAGCAGGCGCGAAAAUUACCCACUCUCAGCACGAGGAGGUAGUGACGAAAAAUAACGAGACCGUUCUCUUAUGAGGCCGGUCAUCGGAAUGGGUACAAUUUAAACCCUUUAACGAGUAUCUAUGAGAGGGCAAGUCUGGUGCCAGCAGCCGCGGUAAUUCCAGCU